AGAGUUUGAUCCUGGCUCAGGAUGAACGCUAGCGGCAGGCUUAACACAUGCAAGUCGGGCGGCAGCGGGGUGGGAGCUUGCUCCCACUGCCGGCGAGCGGCGCACGGGUGAGUAACACGUAUGCAACCUGCCCCUGUCAGGGGGACAACCCGCCGAAAGGCGGGCUAAGCCCGCGUAUAUCGCCCCGGGGCAUCCCGGGGGGAGGAAAGGAGCGAUCCGGACAGGGAUGGGCAUGCGGCGCAUUAGCUGGUCGGCGGGGUAACGGCCCACCGAGGCGACGAUGCGUAGGGGUUCUGAGAGGAAGGCCCCCCACACUGGUACUGAGACACGGACCAGACUCCUACGGGAGGCAGCAGUGAGGAAUAUUGGUCAAUGGGCGGGAGCCUGAACCAGCCAAGCCGCGUGAGGGAAGAAGGUACAGCGUAUCGUAAACCUCUUUUGUCAGGGAACAAAGGCGGGGACUAGUCCCCGGAUGAGGGUACCUGAAGAAAAAGCAUCGGCUAACUCCGUGCCAGCAGCCGCGGUAAUACGGAGGAUGCGAGCGUUAUCCGGAUUUAUUGGGUUUAAAGGGUGCGCAGGCGGCCUGUUAAGUCAGCGGUAAAAGCCCGGGGCUCAACCCCGGCGAGCCGUUGAAACUGGCGGGCUGGAGUUGGAGAGAAGUACGCGGAAUGCGCGGUGUAGCGGUGAAAUGCUUAGAUAUCGCGCAGAACCCCGAUUGCGAAGGCAGCGUACCGGCUCCACACUGACGCUGAGGCACGAAAGCGUGGGUAUCGAACAGGAUUAGAUACCCUGGUAGUCCACGCAGUAAACGAUGAA
RNAcentral lists this ribosomal RNA (816 nucleotides) under uncultured bacterium. RNAcentral describes it as "bacterial SSU rRNA". It matches the Rfam family "Bacterial small subunit ribosomal RNA", at positions 8 to 813 of the family's 1533-position model. The record is from RNAcentral.